GUAAUUGUCUCUUUCUUUUUCCCCUUUCCAGAAACUAAACAGCUUUUCUUAAGUUCAUGCUAUAAAGCUUAAUAACAACAACCCCACUCUUUUCACCACCUUACUCCAUCUGCCGCCAUUGCCGCUAUAGUCUCUGAUCUACCCGCAAAUGUCAAACCUAGCGUUCUCCAGGUUUCGAACCCUUUCGGUACAAAAGCCAAAGACUUUCAUCUCCAAUCUGACCCUCAAGUCAGAGCCUCGAUUGAUUCUCUCGCCGGAUUCGCGGCUCAAGAUUGCACUGCUUCGCAAGCAGCAACGUCGGUGAUGUUUCCGGAGAUUUUCAAAGCUUUAAGUGCUAGAGGAAUUCAGAAACCCUUUCCUAUUCGGGUGCGCUCUUCUUUCUGGAUUGGGGUCGAUUGAAAGUUAUCUGAUUUUUAACUCAAUAUUGAUGUUUAUUGUUCGUGUAAAGAAUUGUGCUUGAGCCAGAUAUUGCUAGGACAUGAACUAGAAAGACUCUUGCUUUUGGGAUUCCUGUCAUUGACAGAAUCAAAAAGAUUUGAUAUGUGAAAAACGUGGGAAGAACCCUAUUUGUUUGGUUUUUAUGCGCUGAACAGAAGAGUGAGCAACCGUCUGGAUAAAUCAACAACAGGUGCAUAUACAUGUAUAUAGCCAUGUCCAAGAUUUGGUUAAUCUGCUCCUGUCUAUAUCACCAUUGGUGAUGGAGAAAAAUUGGAGCAUCAACACUACUACAAAGGAAGCAGAGGGAGCAGAAGCCAAAGCAAAAGCAGCUCAAGCUUACACUGAAGAAGCUUCAAAGACACUGAGAGGACGAAACAUCUGCAAAAUGGUGACAGAGGAGUAAGAAGAAUGUGUUUCAGGUGAAGAAAAAGAAUGUGUUGCAGGGCUAGAGAGAGAGAAGCCUAGAAGUAGUGUAUGUUGAUGAUUUUCUACUUGGAAACUCUUUUUAGUUGUAACCAGUAAUCUCAGAUGCUAAAACUCUUCCUAUCUGUAACAAAUAAUUCUUUAGCUGGAGAACUUUUAGCAGAUUAAAAAUGUGUUAGAUAUUGUGAAAUUGGAAAGAUAUGCGGGCAAGUUAUACUGUUA
Brassica napus (rape) is the source of this 1083-nucleotide long non-coding RNA. RefSeq lists it as uncharacterized. Lineage: Eukaryota; Viridiplantae; Streptophyta; Magnoliopsida; Brassicales; Brassicaceae. The record is from RefSeq and is a predicted model, not a curated record. The transcript is spliced from 4 exons.